CAAUCUAAAGCAACUGGGUUUGGUUCCUGCGUAUUGCUGUAUAUACACGAGGUGCCCGUGUGCAUACUGUAUGCCAGGACCGACUGACGGAUGUAUUUUGAGGGGAUUAGGGAUUCCAGGCAUGUUCGGGGAGGUGGAGAGAGAGCUCCUCCUCAGUUCACCCUGACAUUGUGAGUGUCAGCAUCAGAUCACUUUAAUCAGGCAAGGGAUAUGCAUGAUAAAACGGAUAAGGGACUUUAAUCAAAAAAAUUCGCUGGUCUGGAAACGUGACACACUCCGACAAGCACGCCUCAUCCCUGCCGCACCCCCGUGUCACUGCCAGGCGUGGGCUCGUCAUGAAUAUGCAUGGCAGGAAGGCAAGCUGCUCGAGCGUGGAGAAAAUGGCGGACGGUGUACAAUUCGUUGAGGGCGAAACUAUGGUAAUUCAGGACUGUCAGUCAGCGGCCGUGGGCGAGGCUUGAGUAGUGUGACUUCACACGGCUCAGAGAAUCAAAAGUAAGGGGCCAGUCGUCCGGAUACACGGGGCAGCACAACCUACUCCAGCCCAGCCUCAGCUCAUUAGCCAGCCCUGCUAAGACGGAGGUGUCUUCGCUUCCAAAGCCUCCGCUUUGACAUUCACGCAGUGCUUCCAGUCGAUCAGUGUGUCGAAGAAAAGAUCAGCACUGUAAGUGAAACUUUUGAGGCAAUUACCUUGACAAGUAAAGCUGAGGCAAAAUGAGUGACCACCUCUCCAGCAUCAUGUAAUUAUAGGCAUAUUUUGAGGGGAACUUGAUCUACUGAAGGUUUAAGCCUGACACCCAACUCUUCAGCAGACAGAGAAUGGUGUAUAUACUUGACGACACAUGUGAGCAAGAAGCUUCGUAGCACUCCAUCAAGAGUGCUGGGAUCGAAGGGAAGUCUAAACGAUCCUGCUCCUUCUGUGUCAUUAGGGCAGGGAGGAGAACCCCAUAAAAGAACUACUGAAAUCUCCUUGAAGGAGGAGGAAAAGAAAGGCUGAAUAUCGAUCUGUCUGUCCACGGAUAUGAUACUUAAGCCCAGUACUCAGAGUCAGAGAGCCUAGAGAUCCAUAUCUCAAAGACUUUAAUCCAUGCUCCUCUCUAGCUAGAUUGGCCUUCACCCUAACCUCUUGACAACUGCACGAACAGAUCAGGGCCGCUUGUGCUAACUUGGACUUGACUGACCAGAUUAAGAGAGGAGGCCAAAGGUCAGAUCAAUUGUCUGGAUGAUCAAUUGAGUGGAUAAGAGACAUGAUUCUGGACGAUUUGACUGACAUCUCAGUGCUUCAGAUGGCUAAAAGCCCAGCAGCCAAUGUCCUCCUUGAAAUGGCUUGAGAAGUGACCCUGCUGACCUCUGGCUCUGAUCUGAAUCUGAGAUGGGUCUGCUCUAGCUCCUGCUUAAAAUUGCGGUGCAUAUGCUGGGCUGUGUAAUGGCCUGGGGGCCCUCCCCAGCUACAAGAGAACAAAUGAACAAUUCAUCAUCGGCAGCUGUCCGCCAGGCCCAGGUGACUGCAUACAGCCCCCCUUUGACAAAAAAACAUGGGGGGCAGCUUUUAAUCGGACAAACACUAAUUGGAUGGCCUGGAAAGAUUAGAGGAGCCCCCUGGAGCUACUGUUCUCAUCAAUAGAGGCAUCUUCACGCCUGCCUCGAACACAGACCAGAGCGAACCUCACUCUCCAGACCUCUCAGAGGAGGAAACACCCAAUCAAACCACAAAUAUGACGCCACAGAGGCCAUGCACCACAUGUGAAAUUAUAUCAAAAUAACUUCAAUAUGUUUUUUAUAUUGUUGUUUUCCAUGAGGUGAAUGGGCUUUUCCCAGGAGAUACUAUCCUCCUGAAAUGUUCCACCAAAUGUGUGAUGGAUGGAUUCUAAAUCUAAUUAUAAAAUUAUUUUCGUACUCCAAUUCAUUUUUGAAAUAUAAUCAUUUACACAUUUACUGUUAUAAUUUGUUUUCAUAACAAAUUUAUUUAAACAUAUACUAAAUAAUUAAGACAUUAUUAACAAGUAAAGUAAAUAUAAUGAAUAUAUAAGCUAAUAUAGUGCAUAUAUUUAGUGAAAUUCUCCCCUAUCUAGUGAACUGACAUGCUGUGGACACUAAAUGACUUACCUGAGGUAAAUGUGAUGCUACGUGAGAUAUUAUUCUCAAGCUGCUUUGUGCUUUUUCUGCAGUUGAAACACUGAUUGAGAGAUUAGACGUAACCAUAUCUAUGCAUACAGAUCGUCUGUUCUUCAUCUUCCUGUUGCGGCAGUUGGCAAACAGCAUUGCAUUACCAUGCGUGCCCCCUUUUGGAUUGGAGUGUGGAUCUCCUGUGACUUAGGAUACACAUACUGAUUAUUGGCCAUCAUGCGAGAAAGAUACUUUUUGAAAACAGAUGAUGUAGUUACAACAAAUACCAGCAGGAGCUAACAGGUCAUGCUAACCAAGGGUGCGUUUCCCAAAAACAAUUAUGGUUGCAAGUUCCGUUAUUACCGACGGAAUUAACAUUACCAAGUUCAAUGGAACUGGCAACCAUAGUUGGCUAAUGAUGCUUUUGGGAAAUGCAGCCCAAGAAAGACUUGACCCAGUUGACUCUGAACAGUCUUUACAGUUUAUAGUGUCUUUAGAUCACAGUACUACAUUUACCAUGGUUAAAAUUCACAAAUCCAGAAUUGCCUCCCUGUUUUUAUAUUUAACAACACUGGAAGUUUUAAUCAUAUAUGCACUACUAAUGUCCCUGGUUUUCAUUUCAGAAAUCUGGUCACCUUAGUCUUUCAGUGCUCUGCCUUUCAUUCUGCGAGCGGGCGAGCGUAAUUCUUUGUUCUCACUGCUUUGUGCUGGAAUUGAGCCAAGAGCUUAAUUUAACGAUAUGAGUUUCUACAUGUGUAAUGUGGAGGGUGCAGCACAGAUGCUUGGAGUCUCACAAUAUCCACCCCACACUGAGCAGCCACUCACACAUUAUGUUUUUGUCUGAACGUAAAGCUUCCAACAGUGAGUUAAAUGGAAUAUUUAUGUCUUGGGAUUGGGAAAGAAUGUCCAAAUUAGACGGGAGCUUGAGGAGUCAUUUGAUCUCUUCUAUGAUUAGCUGGUGACAAUGAUAUCAAUUGCACCCUUCAGCCCUCCUACCUGCGACCUUAAUAGGUGAAAUCUGCUGUUUUGACUGUCAUCUCACCAGUCAUCUCACCUCUACCCCUCCUCUUUCUCUACACAACACACAUUCACAGAGGCCCUGGCGAUUUUCACCUCCAACCCAGCUCAUGCUAGUAAUCGUUGCUUGACUUUCGCUUUCUUGGAACGUUACCAGACGAGGCCCAUACUCAUCACCAGUCAGACCUUUCAGAGUAGCUACCAAGUUUAAUUUUAUUUUUGGGUGAACUAUCCCUUUAAACCAUUUCUGAUCAUUAGAAAACGUACUUGUAGGGGGAAAAAGUCUACUGUACCUAGGCCUCUUUCGUUUGCUCCUUUGCUGAAAAUGCUGAAAUUCCUCCUCUGAAACAGCAAGUAUUUUUCAAGCACUUUGCUUCCACAGUAUUGCGAACUUGUACAUAACAUUUAAAUAAACAUUCUACUGUCAAAUAAAUAAAACAUAACACAG
Molecule: long non-coding RNA, 3571 nt
Organism: Megalobrama amblycephala (Wuchang bream)
Lineage: Eukaryota; Metazoa; Chordata; Actinopteri; Cypriniformes; Xenocyprididae
Exons: 8
Source: RefSeq, a predicted model, not a curated record